Long non-coding RNA from Triticum aestivum (bread wheat), 6444 nucleotides. RefSeq lists it as uncharacterized. The transcript has 11 exons. Lineage: Eukaryota; Viridiplantae; Streptophyta; Magnoliopsida; Poales; Poaceae. The record is from RefSeq and is a predicted model, not a curated record.
AGAAAGACCUACGCCCCGACCGCCGCCCGCGGGUCGCCCGCUCCCUCGUGACCCUGUUGCUCCCUCCUCGAUCUAGAUCUGGAUCGAGGGGACAAGGAGCUCCGGCCUCCUCCUCGCCCCGCUGCUGCGUCCGGCGCCGCCACGGCCUCUGGAGCACGGCGCGGAUGAGGAACCCACCCACGGUGUGCGAGGGGUCUCUUCCCGUACGUCAAGGCAUCCCUCCUCACGUUUCCUCUUUCGGCAUGACGGGCCGCCGCCGCACUCCCUUCCCCGGCCGCCCCACGGGCUUCUAUCUCUCCCAGCUCCGCUACCGCACCCCGUCUUCCAUCUCUACAUGAAUCGCUGUUGUGGAAGCCAUACCCCACCGCGCCACCCAGCGGCCAUCCGGGUACGCCGUGUCCGGGAUGAUGGAGUUGAGUCAGCCAGGUCCCUGUUCCCGUCGGCAUCUUCUGCAUCGGGACCCGUGGGGGCAAGCUGCGCGCUGCUCAUCUGCGUCGAUGGCGUCGGCGCGGCCUUCCCCUGCCAAGACCGGCGGCUCCUUGGCUGGAUCCUCUCCUCUCCUCUCUUCCACCUCUCGUCGUCGGGUGCUCCUUCCGUCGAUGUCAAGGUCUUAGUCUCGGUGAUUUCUCCUUGUAUGUUCUGUUGAUAUUGGUACCAUGUUCUGAAACUUGCUGCUUUGGAAAGGGUGUGGUUUCAGUUUUGAUGGUUCUAUUCAAUUCAAGGUGAUUCGGUAAUGUUCUCCGUACAAAGUGCUUCCUAUUUUUGCGGUGAAAAACAACGUGUUGGAGAUAGUUCAGACAUUGAAAAUUUGACAGUAUUUUCUUCUUCUUUUGAUCCCGUUUCUUCAUAGUUAGUCAGACUCAAUAAGAAUUAGAGAAAGUUGGAAAGAGGUUUGUUAGGUCGGAACUGAUAUAUUUGCUUUCUCCUAGCAUCAUAUACAUAUCAUUUUAUAUAACGGGGAUUGUGCUAUAUUACCAUGUUAUAAAGGUAGAGCUAGGAUAUGUCUUUCUUGAACUGUGUGGACAUGCUCAUGGCAGAGGUGCUCUGUUUGCAUGUUUUUUGAAGUAAAGUGGAGAAACUAUUGAAUUGUGUCUUCAGAAAUAGUAUACUGUUGAUGUGUCUUUAGAUGCUGGUUACUGUGUUGGAAUCUACCAAUCCUUCUGAUCAUUGUGUUUUUCUGGGCCUGGAGGUCUACGCCAAACCCCAGGGCAGGGUGGUUCGAACACCAGUGCAGUACGGGCUGGGACGAAUAUCAUCUUGUCUCUGCCUCUACUAAUUCAAAUUACACGUAACUUAUUCACUCAAAAAAAUUACAUGUAAUUUAUUCAGUUCUAGAGCAGCCAAGGGCGGGGCAUCGCACCGACGACAGUGAAUGCAAUGAGGGUGAGAUGCCGAUGUUCGUGCCGGCGCCGGAGACCGUGACCACAACUCGGGGCAAGGUGCUGGUGUCAGCGACGUCGCCCGUGUUGGCCCCUUGAGUUUUGGACCUGCCGCGCUCUGGUUCUAGAAGCUGCCAUUCCCAUCGAGCCCCUCCAGCAGCCUUCAGGAGCUCAGCUUUGUGAUCAGUCAUUUAAAGUAUUUGAGAAACUUGAAGGGAAGCACAUGGCAAAGCCAUAAUUACCUUUUAGUUAUAUUUCAAGUUGUAGGAAAGUUGAAAUCAAUCUGAAAGCAGCUUUCUAUUGUAGAUAUUUUAUUAGUGGCUUGAAGACUUCCAACUCUGUUUGAUGUUAUAGAAAUAGUGAGGUUAUGCCACAAUGCUGAUAGACUUGGUACUUGUAGGAUGGAGAGGAGAAGACUGAAAAGGAUGUUGAUAUGAGGAAUUCAAGGAAGUGGAAGAGGAAGAAAGUUCUGAUGAUGGUGAUAAUUAGAAUAUCAAGUUUGACGACGAUGAUGAUUGGAACCAAGAGGAGGAAGUACGUAAGUUUCCAUCUAUUCAUAUGGAUGUUACCCUCGAUGUACUAUGACCAAAUAUGUAAUGCCUGGUUUGGUUUAAUUAUUUUCUUGUGUAUCACUAGAUAAUCAGUUAACAAGUGUUGACCAUGGUGCAUUGAUCUUAUUUAGUUGUGGUUUUGUAUGCCUCCCCCAACUGCCGCUAAAACCCACCAAAAAAUUAGCAAGAAAAUUGAUGGUGGGAGCUAGCACUGCCAGCAGUGCCUCCUUUAGGAUUUGAAAAUCGUUAAUCCUAUCUUUGCUUGCAUGUGACUGAUGGUGAUGCUACACAAGUUCUGAAGGCAGUGCCCUCCCCUUCAGCAGGAGAUCUUGCUGUUUCUGCAUGGCACAACUGGAUUAAAUAUGCUACAACAAGCGAAGGAGUUCAACGAUGUUGUUGGAAUCAAAGGAUUCAUCCUAACGAAAUUAGACAGGACUGCUCGUGUUGGCUGUGUGUUACGGGUGAGUGUUCAUAGACGAAGUUGGAGUUCCAGCCAAGUUUGUUGGCGUCGGCGAAGGGGUGGAAGAUCUCCAACCUUUUGAUUGAGAAGCAUUUGUUGAAGUCAUUUUCCCAUAAAUUUGACCCAGUUAUUAGUGUUUCUCAUGUAACAAGAUUUUGGCUAACAUGCUACUCCCUUCGUUUCUAAAUAUGUCUUUUUAGGAAUUCUAAUAUGGACUGCAUACGAAGAAAAAUGAGUGAAUCUACACUCUAGAAUAUGUCUACAUUUAUCCGUAUGUAGUCCAUAUUCAAAUCACUAAGAAGACCUAUAUUUAGGAAUGGAGGGAGUAGAACUUGGUAGAAGCAAUUUUUUCAACAAUUACAGUUUUUUUUGUUCAGUCGUCGACUCGUCUGCCUGACUUGUUUCUGUCGUUGAUCCUAACUAUUCAUACAGAAACAUAAGCAAGUACGGCCACAACCUCCAAUACUACUACGACUGAUGGCUAUCCUCUACCCGAGGAGAAAAACUGCAUUCAGAGGGUUACGGAAUGGCAAUGGGUGGGUUACCUCCCAGGAGCAGAUGACUGGCAUGGUUAGUGAUCACUAGGCCAUGAAUCUCAUGGAUCGCAUGAUACAGUAUUUUUACGGUGCAGGUAUCUGGUCCAGAUCCGACGGAGACAAGCAAAAUCGUGCCGCUGCUUCUUCUUUUGAUUGAAAAUCCAGGUGAAAUCUUUCAGGAACUCAGGACGACACGCAUUGAUUAUAUUUCAUUGUGAUGGCCGUUGCCGCCACAGCUACUAUGGGUACAAGCAACUUCUAUUUCGCUCGUCGCCGGAAACCACCGCCCAGAUCCAUCUCUUCUCAACCAUGCCGACGUGGUGGUCAGGGGCGCUUACAACUUGUGAGGGCCUGCGUUCUUGCUGUUGAUCCAUGAUGGCAUGGCCUCCCCACGCCCUAGCUUUGGGUCUGCCAGUAGAGGGAGAGGGGGACGACCUCUGUCGCUCCUUCUCUCUAGCCUCUUCAUCUUGAUGAAGCUGUAGGAGUAGAGGGGCACGCGCGUGAUGGAUCUGCUCCAAGCACCUCAAGCCACGCAUCUUCAAGGUGAUCACUUCAUCCACAUUCAAUCUCAGUUCCCGCGUUUACUCCGAGGAGAGUUCAAAAGCAGCAGGAGCAGUUGUUCUACUGCUGGUCGGAGGGAGAGCUUGGCAAGGGAGAUAGAGGGAGCUCUACAACCACAAUCUUGGCAUACAACCCGAUGGCAUCAUGCCCACAUAAGCUUCUUCCAUGUAACAAUUCUUGCACUUGAUGGUCUUUUACUGUUAGAGCUUACGAAAUCUUAGAUGUUGCUGACAAAAGACCGAGAUACACUAUUUCAGAAUAUAUAUUAUUCAGCAAGUACGUUCACAAAAUUUUUUGGUCUCAGCAGGUUGGUGUUCAUGUACAGGUUGCCAUAUGAGAAUAUACUUCGUAUUCAUCAAAUCUCAGAACAAAUGAUCCAUUCCGAUCAUAACUAUUCCAAAAGCAUUGAUAGGCUUUUUUAAACAUCAAGAUAUCUGAAUAUUGAUCUCAGCAGUGUCCAAAAUCCAAAUGGUUAUGUUUGUUCAGAUUUUCCUCAUUUUUAUGUUCUUUGAAUUAAAGUACUUCUUGAGGUUAAUAAUAAAUGAUUGUUGGUAACUUAACUAGCUCCUGAGAAUAAUUUGUGAUAUAGCUUGCUCCUAUAUUUGCCAUUAACAACGUUGCUUGUGGAGAGUAAUAAGGAUUUAUCUAGCUCAUGUAUGUAUGAGCCUGAGACGGAGAGGACAACGGUUGUGGCUCCAUUGAUGAUAGUGGUUGCGAUGCAGAGCCGUAUGAAUGGACAGCAGGCAAGCCAAGCACUCCCUGGGAAUCGCCGUGAUUCUGGAAUGGGUGGGGGGUCCCGGCCCCUACCACCCAUGAAGCUGACAACGAUCACGUGGCAUCGUGCGGCGGCUGCGGAGGAGAGGGAGGCAUGAGGGGGAGACUUGUAAGCGAGAACCCGCACGGAGGAGGAAGGAGACGCCUCAGGUGGAGAUGAUGACGAUGGCCGUGCCUCCAUCGCUGGCGGCGGUCAUGACGUGCAGCUGCAGGACUAGACAUCAGACAGGCGGAGUCGUUUCUGGGAGUUGCUUGCUUUGGUGGUGCUCUUGGGUUUACGAUUUCAAUAUAAUCCUAUGUCGGAGUGGAAGGUUAAUGUUAUUUCUCUGAUAUCACAAUGUAUCUUCUUGGCUCAGGUAUUGAGAAAGUAGCAUUUUCGCAGAUGUAUUUACUUAGUUUGAUAAGAUGGUGAAAAUAUCUGUAAUUCAGACAUGAAAGAGAGUCAAAUUUAAAAGUAGCUUUUAUAGUCAUAGCUAGCUUACUUUGGUUUACUUGGUCCAUGUAGAGCUGGAAUCUCGGAGCUACACUUUCAACCGGCUUGCUUUGAAAAUCAAGUAAAAUGAAAAGGAUAGAGGUUUCAAUUGUAGCAAUAGUUUAGUAGUGCUACAGAUCUGUGGAGCGGGCAAGAAUUAUUGGUCAACCUUAUAGCUUCUUAUAGCUUCUAUUUGUCAUCUAGAUGUUGUACAUCAUGUACAGAUCUGUUUAAGAAGGAUUGUUGUACAUCAGGUACAGCCUCUUAUAGGUUCUAUUUGUCAUCUAGAUGUCUAAGAUGUUUGGUCUGAUGAUCUCCCUUCACAUUUGCUUGUUUAAACAAACAGGAAUUAAAGUUUACGGAAUGCGAGAAACAUAUAUGCAUAACUGGAUCUGUGAUUCGGUGAUUUUUUGAAUGUGAAGGUGCAUUCUUACAAAUUUUCUGCUCAUGUUAGUUUAGCCCCUGGCUGCAUUAUACAGACAUCAUAUUUAGAUACUUUUGAUUAUAAAGAUCUCUGACAUGAUCAUAUUGUUAUUUUCAGCUUUUGGAUUUGCAUAUAAUGCUGACACCACAUGGACUCUGAAGGAAGUUGUGCUAACUGCUAAGCUUUCCCUGCUUUUCCAGCUUGUGUGUUUCAUUGAUGGAGGAGGUAUAAAUCUGUUCCUUAAAGCGAGCAAAUCAAAACAAAAAUGCAGGAGGUAUCCGACAACAUUGACGAACGCUACACCAUUCCACUUAGACCUGAGGGUAACAUCAAAGGAUGCCACCGGCAGCAGAGAUCAACAAGUUCUUCACCGUCGGGGAGAAGGUGGAGGUCGAAUGUUUCACCGUCCAGUGCAGACUUAUCAUUCAGCUACAGUCACUUGAUCAUCGUCACAGACACCGCCACACUAAGAAUUGUGCAGCUGCUCUACUUUCAGGUACAAAAUUGGACAUCAUGUGGGGUGUUAUGCUCAACCCCAGCCAGUUCAAAGGCAACACUGGUGGUGGUCCUCUGAGUAUGCAUAUGACAUAGAGUGGGCACUGCAAUAAUACAUGCUAAUAGGCGCAGUUUCAUCUCGAGCAGACGAGCACUGCAAUAGUACAUGCUACUCUCAGCGACUACUAACGUGAAGUUGCACUCAGGCUCUCGCAUAUACUAAAGAGCAGUGUCAUCAAUGGAACAAAUAAAGUCUUGAUAACUAGAAGGCCAUUCCAAUUCCAGUAUGGUAAAUAUUCGAUGGAUGACAAAGGGUCCCGAGGGAGCUCGUUUGUGCUGACAACACUCAGCAUAUUCUGCAAAUAUCCUCUGAGUUCACCAUCCAUGAGCUGCAAGUCAUGUUUUCUGGUGCUACAAGUAUAAAAAGGUUCAUGCUUUGCGGUAUUAACCUUUUGUGCUGUUGUUCCAAUACCUUUUGGAGUUUUGGCCUAAAAGGGCUCUCUGGAACACUGAGACAAAGAGAGCUAAAAUUUGGAGUAUGAUUAAGCAGUCCAGUCAGCGUUACUAAUCCCCACUUGAGCUUGACUGUAUUUCCUGGCUUAAUGUUUGAGAUUCUAUGUAUAGCAAAAAAUAUGUGCAGAAUUUCAUUUAAGUUUGAAAGCCAAUCGAUUCCAUGCUUUGAGCUGGUAAGUGGUCCCUGUUCUAAAUUGGUAUUUGGAUCCCAAACUCCCUAUGAACAUAUAAGGAAAUUUUAGUUGUGAAACGACACUUGCUGUACAUGCCAUAUUGCUA